Molecule: long non-coding RNA, 654 nt
Filed under: Ananas comosus (pineapple)
Lineage: Eukaryota; Viridiplantae; Streptophyta; Magnoliopsida; Poales; Bromeliaceae
Description: long non-coding RNA (ACOM_LNC040871)
Source: RNAcentral
CAGAAUUAAACAAACUUUUAAUUCCUUUUUAUCUCUACAAUAGAAAAAAAUUUAUGUUUAUCCAAAUUUUUGCCAACCGGAGAAUAUUUAUUAUGAAUCUAUAUUUUAAUUUAAAAUUUAUUUAAUUUUUUUAUUUUAAUUUAAAAUUUAUUUAAUUCUUCUUUAUCUCUUUCUAUAUAUAUAUAUAUAUAUAUAAAAUCUCUAUUUUAUCUACUAAUAUUUUAUUAUUAUAUUAACUUUUAAAAUUUGAAACUUUUUAUUAAAAAUAUAAUUAAAUUAUAAAUAUAUUAAAAUUAAAAAAUAUAGAAAAAUAUUCAAUGUAUAUCUAUAUCAACACUAUAUAUAAAUUUUAUAAAAUAAAAAAAGAACUAUAUAAUUGUUGUUGACAACAACUAUUUAAAUUUGAGUUAGGAUAUGACUAGAGAUGUCAACGGGUCGGAUUCGGGGCGGAUUUUUAAAAACCCGAACCCGAACUGUGAGAUCCCUGGUGUUCAGGAGUUAAGGCCUGUCGACAGCUCUGGAGAGUGUCGGGACGAGUCUGAGUCUCGUUGGGCCGAAUUAGAUACAAAACGGACUCUGUGCAACGCGAGAGCAGCAUUUAGCAAAAGAAUCUACAAAUAGCAGGUUUCACUGCUUGAUGUACCGGUACAACAA